UGGUGGUGGGGGAUGAUUUUCUUUGCUGGCUUUUUGGGUUUUCUCCUGGUCUUCGGAGCAUGAGCCCGUAUCCCAUGGUGACCUGACCCUGAAGCCCCAGCCCCUCAGCUGCAGACCCCCCACCCUGAGAAAUCUUAGCUCGCCCCCGCCCUGACCGUCACCCUUCUACAUCCCUCUUCUCUAGUAACCUCGCUAGCACCCGCUACAGUAAACUGCCGGCCGAGGAACACCCCACCCUCCUCGGGCUGCUGCCCCCGGGGCAAAGCUUCGGGAAGACCAGCCGAAAAAUCAAGCAAGAACAACACCCCCUUUCCUGCUGAAAGGGCCCCAGACUCGCGCGAAAGGGCCCCGACUACUGAGAAGCCCCUCCCGCCCUUGCCUCAUCUUUCCGACUUCCCUGCUUGCCACGUCUCCUUUCCUUCCUAGCAAGAAACCGAGUGUGGAACCCUCAUCCAUUUCCAGCUGACAGCAGAGCCUGGUCUGUGAGUCCUUGACACCCACACACCCUCUUUCACCACCGCGGGGAACAUCAGAGAUCUCGGUGGGGGGGAAGGGGCGGGCAGCCCAACAGGCGCCGCUGGACACCCUCCUUCGCGUCCCCAAGCCAGCGUAGAACCAGUGCAGGCACUUACCUAGCUUCCCCAUAGUCACCUUAUGCUGUGGCUCCGUCUCUCACACCCACAGACGUGCUUUUCCAAGCCUGAGCACGCUCUCGGGGUCAGCUGGGUGGGUGGGCACAGCAGGCUGAGGUCAUACGAAGGGGUGGGAGGUCCCUGUGAGGUGCGGAAAGGAACUGUGUCCUGGACACCUUGUAGCGCCAGAGCCAGCCCAGCACUUCACUUCAAGGAGCUGCAAUGUGCACACAGUAGGUUCUUGAGAAAUGCCGAGUCCACCCCUGAACAAAGCCUCAUUCCCAAUUCAAGCGGGGGAGGGGCGCUUUGGGAGGUAAAGGAGCAGGAGCAGAAAGGGUAGUGUCAAGUCACCCGAGCCUGGGAGCAGCCGGGGAGGGGCUGGGCCCUGGAACGCCUAGGGCAGAGAAGCGCCCAGAGUGCUGAGGAAGCCUGGUUAGUAAGCAGGAAAAACCGAGCUUUAAACAGUGGCUUAGGGGGCUCCUCCUGCACUAUACACGGUGCCCGACCUUUCCCAGACCACGCUGCUGAAGCACUGACCCAGGCAGCUUUUACGGUAACUAAGGCUGCCAGCUUCUGUGGCUGGGGAGUAGCCUGCUUCCCAAGAAAAAAAAAAAAAAAAAAAAGACAGUUAAUUUGCCUCCAGAACUACCCCGAAGCCCCCACACUGCCUAGCUGAUCUGCAGGACAUGGUUUACCAAGGCUGUGCUAAACCGUGGUGCACAAACUUGCCAAAGUGCCAAAUUCUCUUAGGACCACUACCCUUACUUCUGCUUCCCAUCCUUAGGGAAGGCAGAAUCCCAAAUCUUGGAAAGUAGGACACUGAAGAACUUCUCCCUUCCCUGAGCCUCCCAAGGCAAAGAAUCCCAGCAAUCCUCCCCCAAACACAUAGGCCAGCUAGCUCUACUGUCCAUCUCACAAAAUUAGCUCAUCUCCUCGGCCAAGUCCAUUAUUAGUCUCAUGGUAGAUCUCAGAUCUCAUCAGAUCGGGAGUGGAGAGCACCUAUGGCCACUGAAGCUUCGGAAGGUUGAAGCAGGGGAGGGGAUGAGACAGCCUCUGACAUAGCUGCUUUGUCUCUGAUAAUGGGGGGAUUGGGACUGAGAAUGAGGAAAGAACUGUAACUGGUCACAGGGAAGGAGACUCAAGUGGCAGGCCACUUUCAGCUUGGGAACUGACAGCAACAUUGGUGGAGUGGGCUUGCUUCUCAUUGGCACCUUUAGUCAAAACCCUGUGGUCCUAGUCUGAGAGUGAAGAGUUGACAUAUUUGGGAACCAGGUAGGAGGGAAGAGAGAAUCCUGACUGUGGAGGAGGCAAAGCCCCCAGGAGCUACUUAGCCCAGCCUGCUCAUAGCCAAAGGACUAUGUCUUCAGAGCAUUCCCCGUGGGUGGCUGGCUCAUUUGCCCCAGGAGGCUCAGGCUCAGUGGGCUCAUGGCUGGGGGAAAGGGGAGCAGCACAGGCUUGCUAAAGGCACUCGGUGUUCUUCCUUUAGCAGCCCAUUGAUCUCCCAGGUCCCCUUCUCUCUUGCUUUUUAAAGCUGGUCAACAAGCCAGCCAAGAGGAGGCCAGGGUUAUUUUACAGGCUGCUUGUACCCCAAAGGGACCUUUUGGCCUCCUAUCCUUUCACCCCAUUUUCAGGAACCUCUGCAUCUGGACCAUCUUCCUUUCCAAUCUAGAGCCUUUCUUUCCACUUCUGGAAAAGGCUCAGCUCCCAUAGUUUCUUCAGUCUUUCUUUAGUGCAUGCUGCUCCCAUCCCACUCCACCAGAACAGCUGUGCCAGUGCCUGGGGGCUGUCACCUUUCCUCUCUCUCUGGCCAAAAAAGGGUUUGUCAUUUGGUCUAGAAAGAUGAAUGGAUCCAUCAGGUCUCCACGACUCUUCCUCCACACCCAACCUCUAGCAGAGGCUUGCUGUCUACCUAGAUACCUCCAGACCCUUCAGUAAGGAUUAGCUGCCUUGGAGCAGGAGAGCCGAGGAGAUGGAUGCCUGGAGGAGAACAUCCAGGGCCAGAGAGAACAUGCUGCACACCCCUCCCCCACCAAGUACAACCAGACUGACAGCAGGGACAGACUGGCUGCUCUGUCAUCCUCAGUUCAGCCUCGAGGCACCUCCCCCCAACUGCCGCUGCAGUCCCAGCAGACCGCCUGCCCUGAGAUCCAGCCACCUGGCACGGGCAAGACACCCAAGCCCGCAGCGCAGUUUCUGUGAAGGUGGCACCGACCACUUUGACCUACCUGUUCAAGUCUCUCCUUUCCCGGUGUGGGCAGGCAGCCCUCCUCUACCUCUCCUCAGCGUCCAAAUUCCAGGUCCCAGAACACUGAGCAACCUGGCCCUAAACUCCACCGUACAAGAUUAAAGACUGGCUCUCUUGUGGAGGGACACCUUGGCAUGGAUUAAAUUCGAUGCCAGUACUUGCCCCCCUCUCCGUAAAAUGAAGCCCCCAGCGGUGGGGAAAUAAAACUGGUCUUUUAUAAUUCU
This is a non-coding RNA of Cricetulus griseus (Chinese hamster), 3101 nucleotides long. NCBI's taxonomy places the organism in Eukaryota, Metazoa, Chordata, Mammalia, Rodentia, Cricetidae. The record is from RefSeq and is a predicted model, not a curated record.